GACGAACGCUGGCGGCGUGCUUAACACAUGCAAGUCGAACGGAAAGGCCCUGCUUUUGUGGGGUGCUCGAGUGGCGAACGGGUGAGUAACACGUGAGUAACCUGCCCUUGACUUUGUGAUAACUUCAGGAAACUGGGGCUAAUACCGGAUAGGAGCUCCUGCUGCAUGGUGGGGGUUGGAAAGUUUCGGCGGUUGGGGAUGGACUCGCGGCUUAUCAGCUUGUUGGGGGGGUAGUGGCUUACCAAGGCUUUGACGGGUAGCCGGCCUGAGAGGGUGACCGGCCACAUUGGGACUGAGAUACGGCCCAGUCUCCUACGGGAGGCAGCAGUGGGGAAUAUUGCACAAUGGGCGGAAGCCUGAUGCAGCAACGCCGCGUGCGGGAUGACGGCCUUCGGGUUGUAAACCGCUUUCGCCUGUGACGAAGCGUGAGUGACGGUAAUGGGUAAAGAAGCACCGGCUAACUACGUG
RNAcentral lists this ribosomal RNA (468 nucleotides) under uncultured bacterium. Its description in RNAcentral is "partial 16S ribosomal RNA". It matches the Rfam family "Bacterial small subunit ribosomal RNA", at positions 28 to 507 of the family's 1533-position model. The record is from RNAcentral.